GACGAACGCUGGCGGCGUGCCUAAUACAUGCAAGUAGAACGCUGAAGAGAGGAGCUUGCUCUUCUUGGAUGAGUUGCGAACGGGUGAGUAACGCGUAGGUAACCUGCCUUGUAGCGGGGGAUAACUAUUGGAAACGAUAGCUAAUACCGCAUAACAAUGGAUGACACAUGUCAUUUAUUUGAAAGGGGCAAUUGCUCCACUACAAGAUGGACCUGCGUUGUAUUAGCUAGUAGGUGAGGUAAUGGCUCACCUAGGCGACGAUACAUAGCCGACCUGAGAGGGUGAUCGGCCACACUGGGACUGAGACACGGCCCAGACUCCUACGGGAGGCAGCAGUAGGGAAUCUUCGGCAAUGGGGGCAACCCUGACCGAGCAACGCCGCGUGAGUGAAGAAGGUUUUCGGAUCGUAAAGCUCUGUUGUAAGUCAAGAACGGGUGUGAGAGUGGAAAGUUCACACUGUGACGGUAGCUUACCAGAAAGGGACGGCUAACUACGUGCCAGCAGCCGCGGUAAUACGUAGGUCCCGAGCGUUGUCCGGAUUUAUUGGGCGUAAAGCGAGCGCAGGCGGUUUGAUAAGUCUGAAGUUAAAGGCUGUGGCUCAACCAUAGUUCGCUUUGGAAACUGUCAAACUUGAGUGCAGAAGGGGAGAGUGGAAUUCCAUGUGUAGCGGUGAAAUGCGUAGAUAUAUGGAGGAACACCGGUGGCGAAAGCUGCUCUCUGGUCUGUAACUGACGCUGAGGCUCGAAAGCGUGGGGAGCGAACAGGAUUAGAUACCCUGGUAGUCCACGCCGUAAACGAUGAGUGCUAGGUGUUGGAUCCUUUCCGGGAUUCAGUGCCGCAGCUAACGCAUUAAGCACUCCGCCUGGGGAGUACGACCGCAAGGUUGAAACUCAAAGGAAUUGACGGAGGCCCGCACAAGCGGUGGAGCAUGUGGUUUAAUUCGAAGCAACGCGAAGAGCCUUACCAGGUCUUGACAUCCCGAUGCUAUUUCUAGAGAUAGAAAGUUACUUCGGUACAUCGGUGACAGGUGGUGCAUGGUUGUCGUCAGCUCGUGUCGUGAGAUGUUGGGUUAAGUCCCGCAACGAGCGCAACCCCUAUUGUUAGUUGCCAUCAUUCAGUUGGGCACUCUAGCGAGACUGCCGGUAAUAAACCGGAGGAAGGUGGGGAUGACGUCAAAUCAUCAUGCCCCUUAUGACCUGGGCUACACACGUGCUACAAUGGUUGGUACAACGAGUUGCGAGUCGGUGACGGCGAGCUAAUCUCUUAAAGCCAAUCUCAGUUCGGAUUGUAGGCUGCAACUCGCCUACAUGAAGUCGGAAUCGCUAGUAAUCGCGGAUCAGCACGCCGCGGUGAAUACGUUCCCGGGCCU
Molecule: ribosomal RNA, 1369 nt
Filed under: uncultured bacterium
Lineage: Bacteria
Description: bacterial SSU rRNA
Rfam family: Bacterial small subunit ribosomal RNA
Source: RNAcentral